GACGAACGCUGGCGGCGUGCUUAACACAUGCAAGUCGAACGGAAAGGCCCUGCUUUUGUGGGGUGCUCGAGUGGCGAACGGGUGAGUAACACGUGAGUAACCUGCCCUUGACUUUGGGAUAACUUCAGGAAACUGGGGCUAAUACCGGAUAGGAGCUCCUGCUGCAUGGUGGGGGUUGGAAAGUUUCGGCGGUUGGGGAUGGACUCGCGGCUUAUCAGCUUGUUGGUGGGGUAGUGGCUUACCAAGGCUUUGACGGGUAGCCGGCCUGAGAGGGUGACCGGCCAAAUUGGGACUGAGAUACGGCCCAGACUCCUACGGGAGGCAGCAGUGGGGAAUAUUGCACAAUGGGCGGAAGCCUGAUGCAGCCACGCCGCGUGCGGGAUGACGGCCUUCGGGUUGUAAACCGCUUUCGCCUGUGACGAAGCGUGAGUGACGGUAAUGGGUAAAGAAGCACCGGCUAACUACGUG
RNAcentral lists this ribosomal RNA (468 nucleotides) under uncultured bacterium. Its description in RNAcentral is "partial 16S ribosomal RNA". It matches the Rfam family "Bacterial small subunit ribosomal RNA", at positions 28 to 507 of the family's 1533-position model. The record is from RNAcentral.